GCCAUCGGCAUCUGGCACUGAGUUUCCUGCAUGAAAACAGUGGCCAGCGGGUGCCUGGACCCACAACACCACCUCUGCAGUCACAGUGAAGUCUGCC
RNAcentral lists this microRNA precursor (97 nucleotides) under Mus caroli (Ryukyu mouse). Its description in RNAcentral is "miRNA (MGP_CAROLIEiJ_G0007044.1)". Lineage: Eukaryota; Metazoa; Chordata; Mammalia; Rodentia; Muridae. The record is from RNAcentral.